RNAcentral lists this transfer RNA (73 nucleotides) under Ailuropoda melanoleuca (giant panda). It matches the Rfam family "tRNA". From Rfam's summary of the family: Transfer RNA (tRNA) molecules are approximately 80 nucleotides in length. Their secondary structure includes four short double-helical elements and three loops (D, anti-codon, and T loops). The record is from Rfam by way of RNAcentral. Lineage: Eukaryota; Metazoa; Chordata; Mammalia; Carnivora; Ursidae.
ACCUGGCUGGCUCAGUCAGUAGAGCAUGUGUCUCUUAAUCUCAGGGUUGUGGGUUUGAGUCCUACGUUGGAUA